GCUGUGAAACAGUUACAUGCUGUUAUUCUAGAAUUUUCAGUUGUACAGUUUCUUCAUAGUCAAAACCAAAAACCUGUUAGCACCAGCAAGUACUGUUUUCAUUAACCUCUGUAGAUAAGCUGAUCAUUUCUGAAUAAAAUCGCCUAUAAAUUUGGAAUAAUGCAGUCUAAUGCCCAAGGAACAUUUGAGGUAGCUAUUGAAUGGAUUCACGCACAUCUACUCCUUUAUGCUUCAAGCAUGGCGCUUGGAGUCCGUUUGUGUUGCUGUGGUCUCUUGCUUUAACCAGCGUAGGCAGAAUCUACCAGCCAACUCAAGAGCAACCUGCUGCUGAGCUGGAACCUGCAAGAAACAGAAGUUUGUUUAUAACCCUCCCAACAUUAAGAACCUGAAAAACAGAGCUGUGCCACUUCCAGAUUAGAAAAGAACAUUUCUGUAUUUUCACAUUCUCCUGAAAUUCCUUAUGUAUGUAUUCCUUUGUACUCAAAUAGUUUUUCAUCCUAUUUUCUUUAAGAAGGAUGUAGAUUUAUU
This 528-nucleotide long non-coding RNA is filed under the name Lepisosteus oculatus (spotted gar). RNAcentral describes it as "lncRNA (ENSLOCG00000022982.1)". The record is from RNAcentral. Lineage: Eukaryota; Metazoa; Chordata; Actinopteri; Semionotiformes; Lepisosteidae.